Molecule: unclassified non-coding RNA, 402 nt
Filed under: soil metagenome
Description: partial contains 5.8S ribosomal RNA, internal transcribed spacer 2, and large subunit ribosomal RNA
Rfam family: 5.8S ribosomal RNA (bases 1-121)
Source: RNAcentral
GAUGAAGAACGUAGCGAAAUGCGAUAAGUAAUGUGAAUUGCAGAAUUCAGUGAAUCAUCGAAUCUUUGAACGCACCUUGCGCCCUUUGGCGAUUCCGAAGGGCAUGCCUGUUUGAGUAUCAUGAACACCUCAACUCUCAUGGUUUGCCAUGAUGAGCUUGGACUCUGGGGGUCUUGCUGGCCUAUGGUCAGCUCCUCUCAAAUAAAUCAGCUUGCCAGUGUUUGGUGGCAUCACAGGUGUGAUAACUAUCUAUGCUUGUGGUUUUCCAUCAGGUAACCUUCAGUGAUGGAGGUUCGCUGGAGCUCAUAAAUGUCCCUCCUCAGCGAGGACAGCUUUUUGAACGUUUGAUCUCAAAUCAGGUAGGACUACCCGCUGAACUUAAGCAUAUCAAUAAGCGGAGUA